GACGAACGCUGGCGGCGUGCUUAACACAUGCAAGUCGAACGAUGAAGCCGCUUCGGUGGUGGAUUAGUGGCGAACGGGUGAGUAACACGUGGGUAAUCUGCCCUGCACUCUGGGAUAAGCCUUGGAAACGAGGUCUAAUACCGGAUACGACACGCCACCGCAUGGUGUGCGCGUGGAAAGUUCCGGCGGUGCAGGAUGAGCCCGCGGCCUAUCAGCUUGUUGGUGGGGUAGUGGCCUACCAAGGCGACGACGGGUAGCCGGCCUGAGAGGGUGACCGGCCACACUGGGACUGAGACACGGCCCAGACUCCUACGGGAGGCAGCAGUGGGGAAUCUUGCGCAAUGGGCGAAAGCCUGACGCAGCAACGCCGCGUGGGGGAUGACGGCCUUCGGGUUGUAAACCUCUUUCGACAGGGACGAAGCGCGAGUGACGGUACCUGUAGAAGAAGCACCGGCUAACUACGUGCCAGCAGCCGCCGCAG
Molecule: ribosomal RNA, 481 nt
Filed under: uncultured bacterium
Lineage: Bacteria
Description: partial 16S ribosomal RNA
Rfam family: Bacterial small subunit ribosomal RNA
Source: RNAcentral